UACGGAGGGUGCGAGCGUUAAUCGGAAUCACUGGGCGUAAAGCGCGCGUAGGCGGCUUUUCAAGUCAGGGGUGAAAUCCCACGGCCCAACCGUGGAACUGCCUUUGAAACUGUAGAGCUUGAGUGUCGGAGAGGGUGGCGGAAUUCCAGGUGUAGGAGUGAAAUCCGUAGAUAUAUGGAAGAACACCAGUGGCGAAAGCGGCUCUCUGGUCUGCAACUGACGCUGAGGUUCGAAAGCGUGGGUAGCAAACAGG
This 253-nucleotide ribosomal RNA is filed under the name uncultured bacterium. RNAcentral's name for it is "partial 16S ribosomal RNA". It matches the Rfam family "Bacterial small subunit ribosomal RNA", at positions 524 to 776 of the family's 1533-position model. The record is from RNAcentral.